GGAGAAUUUUAUCCUUUUUUCAAGGUAAUGCUCUCAGCAAGGUUGCUACAGGAUCUUCAAGAAAUAAAGGAACAACUUCAUCAACCAGGAGAAGAAGAAAUUCUAUGGGGUUUGAGGUACUGAGUUAUCUGAGUCCUACAAUGUCUCCAUUCCAAUUCUUGGGAUCCCACUCUUUCUUAAUCCAAAGAUAACUUUUAUGUAUAUAAUCUGUUAGCUCAAUGAAUUUUGCAGCAGCCUAAAAAAUCAAAAUUUCACUAUUUAUGAGUAAUGAG
This 272-nucleotide long non-coding RNA is filed under the name Marmota monax (woodchuck). The record is from RNAcentral. Lineage: Eukaryota; Metazoa; Chordata; Mammalia; Rodentia; Sciuridae.